UUCAAAUUUCUAGGGGCAGGGAGAUUGCUUGUGUUCCAAAAGUCAUCCAGAACCACAUCAUUCUAGAAUGUUUCCUGAAAUUUUCUGUGUCUGGGGUCUGAUGUGGAGUAGAGAAAUCCUAUUCCUGCAUUGGCUUGCCUUGUAGUUGACGAUGAGAGUGGAGUGACAGAUUAUGGACCUGACCUGUAUUGUCCUCAUUCACCACACUUUGGUUUUGUCUUCAGGGAAAAGUGAAGGUGGCAGGUUGCUGAUCACUUUAGACCAGGACCUUUGGUCAGUAAGGAGCUUGCUUUCCCCCAAGGUUGAAUUCCUGUCAACAAGGUGGUUCAUUGACAUUUUGCUGUGAAGAUGGAAGAAAUGUGCCUGUAGCAACAUAGCAAUGGCAAGAUUGCUCUCCUCGUCUCUGCUGAUAUAGACUUGCAGAACUGUGCUGUAAGCCAACUCAUGAAAUCAUCCAGGUUUAAAAAAAAAAUAAAAUCCUUUUUCUGGUUUCUAUGCA
This 499-nucleotide long non-coding RNA is filed under the name Anser brachyrhynchus (Pink-footed goose). RNAcentral's name for it is "lncRNA (ENSABRG00000012840.1)". The record is from RNAcentral. Lineage: Eukaryota; Metazoa; Chordata; Aves; Anseriformes; Anatidae.